UUUCCAUGGGAGCGUGCCGCCUCUCCUCCGGAGGGCUGUGCCGCCACAGCUGCGCAGGCGACGCCCUUCCAGCGUAGACAAGGCCCAGGGGAACUUAGAAAGGUUUUAAGCGCGGUUUGUAAAAGGUUCAAACUAAGUGUCAUCGCAGAGAGCUGCAUUUCACUGUUCUCAGGCCCAGGAAGAAACCACCACGGGAAAAUGAGUAUGCAGCUUCAGCCCGCCCGCACAGCUGCCCUGGGAGGACUGCUUUAGGAGGGGAAGGACUGCCUGGGACAAGCGCUGCACCAACACACCGGAGAUCUAGAUUAAAUUUCUUGCCGUUAGAGAAA
This is a long non-coding RNA of Dromaius novaehollandiae (emu), 329 nucleotides long. RefSeq lists it as uncharacterized. The transcript is spliced from 2 exons. The record is from RefSeq and is a predicted model, not a curated record. NCBI's taxonomy places the organism in Eukaryota, Metazoa, Chordata, Aves, Casuariiformes, Dromaiidae.